RNAcentral lists this transfer RNA (73 nucleotides) under Ailuropoda melanoleuca (giant panda). It matches the Rfam family "tRNA". From Rfam's summary of the family: Transfer RNA (tRNA) molecules are approximately 80 nucleotides in length. Their secondary structure includes four short double-helical elements and three loops (D, anti-codon, and T loops). The record is from Rfam by way of RNAcentral. Lineage: Eukaryota; Metazoa; Chordata; Mammalia; Carnivora; Ursidae.
ACCUGGCUGGCUCAGUUGGCAGAGCAUGUGACUCUUGAUCUUGGGGUUGUGAGUUCAAGCCUCACGUCGGGUA